Chiloscyllium plagiosum (whitespotted bambooshark) is the source of this 380-nucleotide non-coding RNA. Lineage: Eukaryota; Metazoa; Chordata; Chondrichthyes; Orectolobiformes; Hemiscylliidae. The record is from RefSeq and is a predicted model, not a curated record.
GUUUGAGGAGCGCUGGUUAUGGAGAUGUUACUCUGAGAGACUGAAAUGCUCUGCACAAGAUUUUUCUGAUGGCUUAUUAAGAAGACCAGAUUUCAGACUUGGCCUAACUGGCCCUUCAGUCUCACCCUCUCAGAAACCUGGUUUCCUGAAAAAAUCCUACAUUUCUCCUGAAAACUAGACCAACUACACUUCUCCGCUUGCAGUCACUAAGAACAGAUUUCUGAGAAGAACCUUUGCUGCUCACAGAUAUUUUUAACUUACUUAAAACCUCAUGUAUUAAUAUCCGUACAUUCAGUUGUUAAGUUAAUCUUAUUUGUAACUUCUUGCCUUUCCUUAUUUUCUUCAUUCCUUGUAUGAUUGUGUGUGUCCGUAUUUGUUGU